AGGCAAAUAUAGUAAUAAAGUUCAUCCAAAAAAAAAGGGAAGAUCUGAUUUUUACCAGUAAUAAGACUACAGCAUACUAAAUGACACAAGAUGUUCUUUCUCUAUUACCUCUUACAUUUGACAUAAAAGUAGGAAAAGGUUUAACAGUCUAUGCCUACAACAUAGAUCUCCAGGACUAAAAGUACACAAAAUGGCAAUCAGUAUAUCACAAGUGUAAUAACACAUGCAUCUAAUCUGCUUCAGUGGCGAGAACUGGGUGAAUCCUCUCAAACAUUAAUCAGGAACUAGGCAUACCUAAUGAGCGUCAAGCUGAUACAGUAGAUGUACAGAAGAGUUUAUACACAAGGAAGUGAAAAGUGAUGUUAAAGGCAACUAAUACUUCCAUCUACCAUAGUUAAACAAGAAUCUGCAAAUGGUGAUAAUUGCAAUAAUCUUGAUAUAUUAAUGUUUGGCUUUAUAAUUA
Physella acuta is the source of this 463-nucleotide long non-coding RNA. RefSeq lists it as uncharacterized. The record is from RefSeq and is a predicted model, not a curated record. Lineage: Eukaryota; Metazoa; Mollusca; Gastropoda; Physidae.